This 644-nucleotide unclassified non-coding RNA is filed under the name Hevea brasiliensis (rubber tree). The record is from RNAcentral. Lineage: Eukaryota; Viridiplantae; Streptophyta; Magnoliopsida; Malpighiales; Euphorbiaceae.
GUGAUGUUUUGCUACUCUGAUACUAGCGGCCAUCAAAUUUUGAAUCUUCUCAAAUAUGUUCUGGUUCGGUUUAAACAUGUUUGCCUUGUAUUUUUGAAUAUUAUACAUAGUGAACUUGUUACCUGUCAAACAAGGACUUCACAAUUUGAUUUAAGUAUAUGAGCUUUCAGUUGCCAUAUGGAGGGGGUUCUAGUUUGUCUACAAUAAGCAGGUAAAUAAUUAAUAAAUAAACACUAUGUGCUGUAGGUUAUUUUGUAAUGAUGAUUUUUUUUGGGUUAAAUUUUGCAAUUAUUAAUGUUUUAUCAGAUACACACAGACACACACUUAAGCUUAACUAUUCAGCAGAGAACCCCCAUCUAUACAAAGGCUUUGUGUUGAUCACACCAUAUUGUGCAACAUCAAGUAGCAAGUCCAGCAUGUUGAUAGAAAAGAAGAAAUGACCUGCCAAUGGCCUCACCUAAGGCAGGCCUAGGGUGGCCCUGAGCUUAGCUUGAUCAUUAUUAAACUGUGCUCAUGCUUGAUCUUGAAUUCACAAUGAGCUUCAGUUUGAUUCAGGGCUGGGCCAUUCUUGUUUUUGCCCUUAAAAGUUUUGUUUAACUCUCUCAAACAGACUUUUCAAAUACUUAAAUAUUAUUUAAUGGAUG